AACCCGCUGGAGGUUUCUAGGGCCUCGUAAGCCGCAGGUCGCGGGUUCAAAGCCCGCCCGGGGCU
This 65-nucleotide transfer RNA is filed under the name Nitrososphaerota archaeon. RNAcentral describes it as "Thaumarchaeota archaeon tRNA-Thr". The record is from RNAcentral. Lineage: Archaea; Thermoproteati; Nitrososphaerota.